This 1934-nucleotide long non-coding RNA is filed under the name Triticum aestivum (bread wheat). RNAcentral's name for it is "long non-coding RNA (TAES_LNC026226)". Lineage: Eukaryota; Viridiplantae; Streptophyta; Magnoliopsida; Poales; Poaceae. The record is from RNAcentral.
AAUAAUAGGUUACGAAUUCACAUAUCUUCUGAUGUAAUUGCAUAGAAUUUACACACACGAAUCAAAUGUCAACAAAAAUAGAGGUACAACUUCUCAAAAAAGCACAUGUGGAUCAACUAAAUAUUCACAAUUUGAGACCAUUUUCUACAAUGUUUUGCUUGACCUUAGGUUGUAAGAUGCUCUUCUUACCCUGCACUGGACAUAACUGAACUUGUAAAAUGUGCAAGUGUGAACCGUUUGCUACAAUAAGGUAACAAGAAACAGGAAUAAUAUACAUAUGAUAUGAUCAGCAUAAUCUAUAUGGUAUCUCAUAUUCUCGCAUUAACAUAAGUAUAUAUAGCCAAAUUCUUUUUUUCACAGCAAAGUUAAAUAAACUGACAGCUAUAUAGACAUGAUAACUGAGUGGUUUCUUCUAAAAUCUUGUGACAAAUUUGAUACAAACACAACAAUUGACAACAUCCAUUCAUCUAUCAGAACUAUCAGUUAUUAGAGGUUUCUUCAAGUUAAGCUCAAACCAUGAUAUCGACAGUAAGUGCAACUUCUCAAUGAUGCAUAACCAGAAGAAUGUACUCUGUUUCAAAAUGCAAGACGUUUUUUGACACUGCCACAUUUUGAGACAGGUUAGUAUAACAAGAAAAUCAGGGGAGUGCCUUUGAAUAAAAUUAUCAAGAAGGAAACAGAAAUGUAGUAACAUUCAUACUGAACAAAAAUAGCAGCUAGGGGCUCAACACAGAUAAGAUGAUCCUGGUCAUACUGGACAAAGAAUGGUAUACAAACAGUAUGAUAAGAUGAAAGAAUAUAAAGGGCAUCAUUACUGCCUAAUAAAACAAAGAGCUAUGCUGCUGAAUAUCACAUUAAGAUAAAAGGGCAACAAACACCAUCUCUAUAUAUAACUGUAUCUGGUCUUACCUGUUAGAAUAUUCUCUAACUCCAUCAGCAUACAUAAAAAAGCAAAUAUGUUUUAUUUGCUUAAGGCUUGAGCAAUUCAUCAAUAACAUCACUACACUGGAAAACAUUUCCAAUUCACUAGUAAUAAUAUAAGCUGCUUACACUACACGACAUUUUCAACAUUGAUAUUCCAAACAUCCAUGCAUAUAUGUCUCUGCUUAAGCAUAAUUAAUUACGUACCUGAUAAUAGAAGUUAAGCCUUCUUCCAAUUAUAUUUUAUUGCUCUGCGUCAGAGUGAAAAUUAGGUGAUCCAUGUGCCUUCAUGUACACAAGGUCAGAACAAAAGUCAAGAUCUGUCAUAAAAAAUCAAGUUUACUUGUAUGCAAACAUGUCAUUGCAUAAAAAAAAGCAUGGCAAUGCACUUGAUACAUACACAAGCAAGAAUAAAGAUGCAAGACAGCAGGAUCUGUGAGGUGGAUCCAUGGAGAGUUCGUCCAGGAUGCGUCUAAGAAAAAUUAUACUGGUGAGCUCCAUGGAGAGUUCGUCCACCCGAUACAUAAUACUCCAUGUCCAUGGAGCCACCACUCACCUGGUCUCUCAUCAUUCAGGAUGCGUCUCUCAACAUAAAGUAGCCGCCGGAUCUGUGAGGGGAUGGUGCUGGAUCUUCUAGGGUAGAGGGGAGGGGAGGAGUCAGCGUUGUCCUCACUGCUUACCGUCGGUGGUGACAACGUGAGGAGGGCGCGCUCGGGCUUGCGGUGAGGCCGCGCGUCGCCGCCAAGGAGCACAAGGCGUGGGUCGCUUGACCGGCGAGAGGAUAGAGAAGGUACAAGAAACGAGGGGAUGUGCAGUCUCAAGGGUGGAUGCGCCGGCCAAAAUGGAGCGGCGGAGUGGCACGACGAAGGAGGCGACCGAUGCUGCUGCUGCUGCGGCGGCGAGGGUUAGGUCUGGCGGCGGCGAGAUGGGGUGGAGACGAGGGAUGGGGCUUCUGAUUUGGGGAUCGAGGGUUUCUAACCACUCCGUAUUUCUUUUUCUACGGGCCUUUUCCU